UACGUAGGGGGCAAGCGUUGUCCGGAUUUACUGGGUGUAAAGGGUGCUCAGGCGGGUUUGUAAGUCAGAGGUGAAACUCCGAAGCUUAACUUCGGAACUGCCUUUGAUACUGCAUCCCUAGAGUUUGAGAGAGGCGAGUGGAAUAUCUGGUGUAGCAGUGAAAUGCGUAGAUAUCAGAUAGAACACCAAUGGCGAAGGCAGCUCGCUGGCUCAAUACUGACGCUAAAGCACGAAAGUGUGGGUAGCAAAC
This 250-nucleotide ribosomal RNA is filed under the name uncultured bacterium. Its description in RNAcentral is "partial 16S ribosomal RNA". It matches the Rfam family "Bacterial small subunit ribosomal RNA", at positions 524 to 773 of the family's 1533-position model. The record is from RNAcentral.